Molecule: ribosomal RNA, 301 nt
Filed under: uncultured bacterium
Lineage: Bacteria
Description: partial 16S ribosomal RNA
Rfam family: Bacterial small subunit ribosomal RNA
Source: RNAcentral
CAGCAGCCGCGGGAAUACGUAGGGUGCAAGCGUUAAUCGGAAUUACUGGGCGUAAAGCGUGCGCAGGCGGUUAUAUAAGACAGGUGUGAAAUCCCCGGGCUCAACCUGGGAACUGCAUUUGUGACUGUAUAGCUAGAGUACGGCAGAGGGGGAUGGAAUUCCGCGUGUAGCAGUGAAAUGCGUAGAUAUGCGGAGGAACACCGAUGGCGAAGGCAAUCCCCUGGGCCUGUACUGACGCUCAUGCACGAAAGCGUGGGGAGCAAACAGGAUUAGAUACCCGCGUAGUCCCUGUCUCUUAUAC